Molecule: long non-coding RNA, 665 nt
Organism: Hordeum vulgare subsp. vulgare (domesticated barley)
Lineage: Eukaryota; Viridiplantae; Streptophyta; Magnoliopsida; Poales; Poaceae
Exons: 2
Source: RefSeq, a predicted model, not a curated record
CGAGUUGGCCCAUUGGAUAUAGCGCACGCACGCACGCAGAUCAGAUCGAUCAGUCCUUCAUCGCCCAAAAGAAAUAUCCAUCGAUCAGAUCCAGGAGCCUAACCGGCCACCAGCACCUCCCUGGCGCCCCUGUUCUACUCCCACGCGAUCGGCGAGCCGCCAGGCGGCCAUGGCCAGGGCUGUUGCCAUCGCCUGCUCGGCGAUCGGACGUGCGCACGGCGGCGCGGACAGCGGACGGCGCGACUAAUCUAUCCCCGCUCACUUCAGUUCCGAUCUCUGCAGUCGGCAGCAGAGAGCAGACAUUGAUUCAGUUUGAAACCAACAUCCCACGGAUUCAGUUAACUUCGCGUCCCUAGCUAGCACAUAUUUGGUUUUUGUUCAAGUUGUGACGCAAUGCAACAACAACAUAUGGUGAAAGAGAAGAAGCAGCUAUCUAAUUAUGAUGGUUGAUGACGUAUAAAAUGGAGGUGAACAUGAAGAUAAAGAAAGGUUAUGACUUGCCAUUGCUUCAAACAUCGAGAAUUCCUUGUUGCACCUUGUAUGAUCGCAUUUGGAGUCUUAUUAGGACUAGAUAUAUGUAAAAGAGUAUUUUGUAAGUUUGGAAUACUAUUUUCUUUGUCAACCUUCUUCGUAGGCACGGGUAUAUAGAAGUGCACUUUUGGAAA